UACGUAGGGACCGAGCGUUGUCCGGAUUCAUUGGGCGUAAAGAGCUCGUAGGCGGCCACUCAAGUCGAAUGUGAAACCUCGAGGCUUAACCUCGAGCCUGCAUUCGAUACUGGGCGGCUAGAGUCUGGUAGGGGGAUCUGGAAUUCCUGGUGUAGCGGUGGAAUGCGCAGAUACUCAGGAGGAACACCGGUGGCGAAGGCGGGUCUCUGGGCCGAUACUGACGCUGAGGAGCGAAAGCAUGGGUAGCGAACAGG
Molecule: ribosomal RNA, 254 nt
Filed under: uncultured bacterium
Lineage: Bacteria
Description: partial 16S ribosomal RNA
Rfam family: Bacterial small subunit ribosomal RNA
Source: RNAcentral